UAUACAUGACGUGUGUGAUAUGAAGGUGAAUCCAGUCCAUGUAGUGAACUGUGUGCUGUAUUGAUGAGGAGCUCAGUGAUCAGAGUCCAUGUAGUUUCCAGGAUCAGACUGAAUGCAGUGCUGGAAGCUGCUGUUGACUGUGUGAAUGUGUGUCUGUGCUGCUUGUUGCUGCUGUCAAACUUCAGAUAACCCGGUAGUGAAGCCCGUGGUGAGCGUGUACCCAGCAGCAUCCAGAGCCCACCAUGAGGGGAAGAGCUCCCUGCUGUGUGUGGCCUCAGGCAUGUUUCCUCCUCUGGUCCGCUUCUCCUGGAAAAGACGAAAGGAGAACAGUCUGACGGAGGAGCUGGCACCUGCUGAGGAGGAGCAGCUGGAGCUCAGAGAGUCGGGACGCACCGCCGCCAUCAGAGUGAUUGAUCGGGACGCUCUCUAUACGUAUAAAUACCGCUGCUACGUCCAGCACGAGGGGGGGGAAGUGAAGGCCCAAACAGAACAAGCGAUCUGUUUUUUGAACCAGGUGAAACUGCUCUGUGUGCUGUACACAGUGCUGAUAGUGAAGAGUCUGGUGUACUGCUGUGGACUCUCUCUGCUGAGGAUCCUCAGAACAAGGGACC
Molecule: non-coding RNA, 611 nt
Organism: Micropterus salmoides (largemouth bass)
Lineage: Eukaryota; Metazoa; Chordata; Actinopteri; Centrarchiformes; Centrarchidae
Source: the annotation of a RefSeq genome assembly